RNAcentral lists this long non-coding RNA (1034 nucleotides) under Homo sapiens (human). Its description in RNAcentral is "HSALNT0387315". The record is from RNAcentral. Lineage: Eukaryota; Metazoa; Chordata; Mammalia; Primates; Hominidae.
CAGGAGUGAUAAGCGUGAACUAGAGAGUGCUGUGCAGGAGGAAGCUGGGGCCGCCGUCGGGCCUUCUCCCUCCAGGGGCCCAAGAGCCACUGGUACUCAGUGUCUGGGUGGGGGCAGGGGGGAUUUUUGUUCUCCCAGCACCUGCGGCUGUUGAGACCAGAGAAGCUGGUGGUCGACCACAGCCUGGGGUAUUAGUUCACCCCUAGCUUCUCCCCAGCGAGACCCCAGGGCCCUUGGGCACAGGGGAUUAAGCCUCUAUCUGCUUACGUGCAAGCGGAAGAAAUAGGCCCAGAGAGCAACAGUGGCGGGUCUGCAGUCACACAGCCAACUUGCGCUUGUGGCAGUGGCAAGGUUGGUGAGUAUCUGAGUCUUCAGGCCACGGCAUUUUCCGCUCGAGUGGAGCCUGAAGUUCUGAGGGUACCCCUCACUCAAGCUCCAGGCGUCAGGAAAAGAACAUUCCACGAAGUCCAUCUGGAAGACGGUCCUUUCCCUGCUGCCCCCAGAUACCAGGUGUUUCUGCCACUACCUUUGCCAGAUAUGUACCCUCUGACACCUGCUUCUCUUGUUGGUGGCUUUUGGACACAAGCCUGAUGCUGCUUCUAGAACAUUCCCUGGAACACAGCAAGUGUUCAGUAUUGUUCAUGGAGUGACAGAUGUCUCAGCCAAGAAGGUACAAUCACAGGGAAGAAUGACUUCAACUGGUCUUGACUUCAACCUGCUUCCAGCCUGGUUCCCUUCUCCCACCUCCCUACAGCCCACAGAAGAUCUUUUCCAAACUGGAAGUCUGUCCAGGUCAUUCUUCUGCUCUAAGGCUUUCAGUAGCUCCCCCUUAUCCCCAGGAGGAAGUCCAAAUGCCUUAACAAGUGUCAAGGAACACUUGGUGAGCCCUGCUUUCCUUGCUAGUCACUCGUGCACAGCUGAGUCUUUCCCCAGAGUGGAUGUCAUUCAUGCUGUUCCCAUUGCCUGGAUUCCUGCUCCUCUCCACCCCAUUCAACUGAUAAACUCGUGGUUUUUUUUUUUUUUUUUUUUUUUUU